RNAcentral lists this ribosomal RNA (253 nucleotides) under uncultured bacterium. Its description in RNAcentral is "partial 16S ribosomal RNA". It matches the Rfam family "Bacterial small subunit ribosomal RNA", at positions 524 to 776 of the family's 1533-position model. The record is from RNAcentral.
UACGUAGGGUGCGAGCGUUGUCCGGAAUUAUUGGGCGUAAAGAGCUCGUAGGCGGCUUGGUAGGUCCGCUGUGAAAACUCGAGGCUCAACCUCGAGAUGUCGGCGGAAACCACUUGGCUAGAGUCCGGAAGAGGAGAGUGGAAUUCCUGGUGUAGCGGUGAAAUGCGCAGAUAUCAGGAAGAACACCUAUGGCGAAGGCAGCUCUCUGGGACGGUACUGACGCUGAGACGCGAAAGCGUGGGGAGCGAACAGG